Molecule: ribosomal RNA, 372 nt
Filed under: Anaplasma bovis
Lineage: Bacteria; Pseudomonadati; Pseudomonadota; Alphaproteobacteria; Rickettsiales; Anaplasmataceae
Description: bacterial SSU rRNA
Rfam family: Bacterial small subunit ribosomal RNA
Source: RNAcentral
UACCUAGUAGUAUAGGAUAGCCACUAGAAAUGGUGGGUAAUACUGUAUAAUCCCUGCGGGGGAAAGAUUUAUCGCUACAUGAUGAGCCUAUGUUAGAUUAGCUAGUUGGUGGGGUAAUGGCCUACCAAGGCAGUGAUCUAUAGCUGGUCUGAGAGGAUGAUCAGCCACACUGGAACUGAGACACGGUCCAGACUCCUACGGGAGGCAGCAGUGGGGUAUAUUGGACAAUGGGCGCAAGCCUGAUCCAGCUAUGCCGCGUGAGUGAGGAAGGCCUUAGGGUUGUAAAACUCUUUCAGUGGGGAAGAUAAUGACGCUACCCACAGAAGAAGUCCCGGCAAACUCCGUGCCAGCGGCCGCGGUAAUACGGAGGGG